This 154-nucleotide ribosomal RNA is filed under the name Scopula alba (Italian nereid). RNAcentral describes it as "partial 16S ribosomal RNA". Lineage: Eukaryota; Metazoa; Arthropoda; Insecta; Lepidoptera; Geometridae. The record is from RNAcentral.
AAGCCAGGUUGGUUUCUAUCUUUUUAAAAAAUAAAUAUUUUAGUACGAAAGGAUCAAAUAUUUUAAUUAUAUUAAUUUUAAGAGAAUAUUAUUAAUUUAAAGUUAAAUAUUUAAUUUAAUAAAAAGUGAAUAGUUUAAUUAAUUUGUUAAUUAA